CCCAUACUCCUUCUCAUUAUAAGAUGAGUCGGGAAAGUUUUUUCGCUAAAGGAUUGGGCUAUAUGGUAUCAGCUUGUUGGUGAGGUAACGGCUCACCAAGGCUAUGACGCCUAACUGGUCUGAGAGGAUGAUCAGUCACACUGGAACUGAGACACGGUCCAGACUCCUACGGGAGGCAGCAGUGGGGAAUAUUACACAAUGGAGGAAACUCUGAUGUAGCAACGCCGCGUGGAGGAUGACACAUUUCGGUGCGUAAACUCCUUUUAUAUGGGAAGAUAAUGACGGUACCAUAUGAAUAAGCACCGGCUAACUCCGUGCCAGCAGCCGCGGUAAUACGGAGGGUGCAAGCGUUACUCGGAAUCACUGGGCGUAAAGCGCAUGUAGGCGGUCUUGUAAGUUGGGUGUGAAAGCCUAUGGCUCAACCAUAGAACUGCACCCAAAACUACUAGACUAGAGUCUGGGAGAGGAAAAUGGAAUUAGUUGUGUAGGGGUAAAAUCCGUAGAGAUAACUAGGAAUACCAAAAGCGAAGGCAAUUUUCUGGAACAGUACUGACGCUCAGAUGCGAAAGCGUGGGUAGCAAACAGGAUUAGAUACCCUGGUAGUCCACGCCCUAAACGAUGAAUGUUAGUCGUCGGGAGGCUCGUCCUUUCGGUGAUGCAGCUAACGCAUUAAACAUUCCGCCUGGGGAGUACGGUCGCAAGAUUAAAACUCAAAGGAAUAGACGGGGACCCGCACAAGUGGUGGAGCAUGUGGUUUAAUUCGAAGAUACGCGAAGAACCUUACCUAGCCUUGACAUUGAUAGAAUCCGAUGGAAACAUUGGAGUGCCAGUUUACUGGAGCUUGAAAACAGGUGCUGCACGGCUGUCGUCAGCUCGUGUCGUGAGAUGUUGGGUUAAGUCCCGCAACGAGCGCAACCCUCGUCCUUAGUUACUAACGGUUCGGCCGAGGACUCUAAGGAGACUGCCUUCGUAAGGAGGAGGAAGGUGAGGACGACGUCAAGUCAUCAUGGCCCUUACGGCUAGGGCGACACACGUGCUACAAUGGAUAGGACAAUGAGACGCAAUACCGCGAGGUGGAGCAAAUCUAUAAACCUAUUCUCAGUUCGGAUUGUAGUCUGCAACUCGACUACAUGAAGCUGGAAUCACUAGUAAUCGUAGAUCAGCCAUGCUACGG
This 1174-nucleotide ribosomal RNA is filed under the name uncultured Campylobacterota bacterium. RNAcentral's name for it is "bacterial SSU rRNA". It matches the Rfam family "Bacterial small subunit ribosomal RNA", at positions 170 to 1362 of the family's 1533-position model. Lineage: Bacteria; Pseudomonadati; Campylobacterota. The record is from RNAcentral.